ACCGAGUUUGAUGAAUACUUGGGAAGGAAAACAUUUAUGAGCAGUAAUGGAGCAGUCACUUAGGGCACACCUACUUCUUUGUGAUUUGAAUAAUCUAUUUCCACCCACCCAGCCCCCCACUGUCAGCCACCCUCAACAAUCUGGGGAAUCAAAUUAAUCUUCAAUUAUGCGGAAGAAUCUCAGGACCGAGCACAGCUCAAGUUACCAAGUAACUUGCUACUGUGGAAAGAUUCAUGCUGAAAGCAGCCUCAGCCCUGGACUUUUAGUAAUUUCUCCUCCCUCCCCAAAAAGGGUGUUUUGAAGAGGGUGAAGGAAAAGGACUUUGAAAGGAAAAACAGACAUCUAAGUGGCUGUCUCGUGUAGACCCUUCUGUGACCCCACACUGAAUACUUCUAAUGGACAUGUGUGAUCUUGGAGACUUCUCUGCAAUAAAAAAGUUUUAAACCUUCAA
This is a long non-coding RNA of Marmota monax (woodchuck), 451 nucleotides long. RefSeq lists it as uncharacterized. Lineage: Eukaryota; Metazoa; Chordata; Mammalia; Rodentia; Sciuridae. The transcript is spliced from 2 exons. The record is from RefSeq and is a predicted model, not a curated record.